RNAcentral lists this ribosomal RNA (253 nucleotides) under uncultured prokaryote. RNAcentral's name for it is "partial 16S ribosomal RNA". It matches the Rfam family "Bacterial small subunit ribosomal RNA", at positions 524 to 776 of the family's 1533-position model. The record is from RNAcentral.
GACGUAGGGGGCGAGCGUUGUUCGGAAUUACUGGGCGUAAAGCGUGCGUAGGCGGACUUAUAAGUCAAGGUUGAAAUAUCCGGGCUCAACUCGGGGCACGGCCUUGAUACCGCAAGUCUUGAGUCAAGUAGAGGGUAAUGGAAUUCCCGGUGUAGCGGUGAAAUGCGUAGAUAUCAGGAGGAACACCCGUGGCGAAGGCGGCUGCCUGGCCUAUCACUGACGCUGAGGCGCGAAAGCGUGGGGAGCAAACGGG